This 72-nucleotide transfer RNA is filed under the name Talaromyces pinophilus. Its description in RNAcentral is "tRNA-Cys (GCA) (tRNA-Cys-GCA-1-1)". It matches the Rfam family "tRNA". From Rfam's summary of the family: Transfer RNA (tRNA) molecules are approximately 80 nucleotides in length. Their secondary structure includes four short double-helical elements and three loops (D, anti-codon, and T loops). Lineage: Eukaryota; Fungi; Ascomycota; Eurotiomycetes; Eurotiales; Trichocomaceae. The record is from RNAcentral.
GGGGGUAUAACUCAGUGGUAGAGUGGCUGAUUGCAGAUCAGCAAGUCGGGUGUUCGACCCACUCUGCUCCCU